GCGGGGAUGGCGAAAUGGUAUACGCGCCUGAUUUAGGAUCAGGAUUCUAUGAGUUCGAAUUGCUCUCUCCGUA
RNAcentral lists this transfer RNA (73 nucleotides) under unidentified eubacterium SCB49. It matches the Rfam family "tRNA". From Rfam's summary of the family: Transfer RNA (tRNA) molecules are approximately 80 nucleotides in length. The record is from Rfam by way of RNAcentral. Lineage: Bacteria; Pseudomonadati; Bacteroidota.